GGCGGGUCCUCCCGCCAGAGGAUACAUCAAAACUCCUGUUUUAACGGUGUUGUCUGAGCUACAAGCAACGAAUCAAAACUUUCAACAACGGAUCUCUUGGUUCUGGCAUCGAUGAAGAACGCAGCGAAAUGCGAUAAGUAGUGUGAAUUGCAGAAGUCAGGGAAUCAGCGAAUCUUUGAGCGCACUUUGCGCCCCUUGGUAUCCCGAGGGGCAUGCCUGUUCUAGCGUCAUUUCACCACUCAAGCGCUGGCUUGGUGUUGGGCGACGUCCCCCUUUAGGGACGCGCCUCGAAACGCUCGGCGGCGUGGCACCGGCUUUAAGCGUAGCAGAAUCUUUCGCUUUGAAAGUCGGGGCCCCGUCUGCCGGAAGACCUACUCACAAGGUUGACCUCGGAUCAGGUAGGGAUACCCGCUGAACUUAAGCAUAUCAA
Molecule: unclassified non-coding RNA, 430 nt
Filed under: uncultured Cenococcum
Lineage: Eukaryota; Fungi; Ascomycota; Dothideomycetes; Gloniales; Gloniaceae
Description: sequence contains ITS1, 5.8S rRNA gene and ITS2
Rfam family: 5.8S ribosomal RNA (bases 77-230)
Source: RNAcentral